CCACCUUUGAUCACUCUCAGUUCCUUCUUACAGGACAGAUCCCAACAUAAAGGGGAAGAAGAAUGGAAUGGAUAUGUGCAACACAUCUCAAACAACAGUUACAGAACAGGUUAAACAUAUCCAAAACAUGUUGGAUAGAGGCCAGGACUGGUGAAACACCUCUCUGCUUUCACCUUAUGAAGAAUAGUGUUCACUUCAUCAGGUUCAGCCCCGUACCUUCUCUCAGAUGCUUUCCUCCUCAAUGAGAAUAUGAAUCUGAUGUACACCUUCUCAUCUUUUCCGUUAAUAUUGAAGGUCAUAAGGAAUUUCAGCCAGGAUAAUUCUGCUCACUUUUGCUUGGCUGAGUUACACGGACUUGCUCCUUCUUUCAAAGAGAAACUUCAAAGUACUGCCUCUGUCAUCAGACCUACUCUGACAGCAGCAUCGGAGGGUGUAUGAGCCAGAUCCAUCUUUGCUACAUCUAGCAGCAAUAGAUCCUUGACAGAAUUAGAGAAAUCUUUCUCUGAAGAUGUACAACAUGUAUUACUAAAUGUGAAAAGACUGACUACUAGAAAAUGUUAUGAGUUGAAAUGGAAAAGAUUUUUCUAUGGGAUGCUAAUAAGGAUAUUGAUCUUGUGCCAGCUCCUAUACAAUUCAUUUUAGAGUACUUGUUGCUUCUGAAGGACCAAGAUUUUUAUAUUAAGUCACUCAGGUACAUUUAGCCACAAUUGCACCUGUUGAUGGUAAAUCAGUAUUCUCUCAUCUGAUUGUUAAGAGAUUUAUGAAAGGUUUACUAAAUCUGUAUUCUCCAAAAACAAAGC
Long non-coding RNA from Caretta caretta (loggerhead turtle), 800 nucleotides. RefSeq lists it as uncharacterized. The record is from RefSeq and is a predicted model, not a curated record. Lineage: Eukaryota; Metazoa; Chordata; Testudines; Cheloniidae.